GACUCCUACGGGAGGCAGCAGUGGGGAAUAUUGGACAAUGGGCGAAAGCCUGAUCCAGCCAUGCCGCGUGUGUGAAGAAGGUCUUCGGAUUGUAAAGCACUUUAAGUUGGGAGGAAGGGCAGUAAGUUA
This 129-nucleotide ribosomal RNA is filed under the name uncultured bacterium. RNAcentral describes it as "partial 16S ribosomal RNA". It matches the Rfam family "Bacterial small subunit ribosomal RNA", at positions 334 to 462 of the family's 1533-position model. The record is from RNAcentral.